AACGCACAUUGCGCCCGCCAGCACUCUGGCGGGCAUGCCUGUCCGAGCGUCAUCUCAACCCUCGAGCCCCCCCGGGGGCCCGGCGUUGGGGACCGGCACCGCCCAGCAGCGGUCGCCGCCCCCGAAAUGCAGUGGCGGCCGCGCCGCAGCCUCCCGUGCGCAGUAGCUCGUGCUGACGCUCGCAAGGGGAGCGCGGCGCGGCCACGCCGUGAAACACCCAAACCGCGAAGCGUUGACCUCGGAUCAGGUAGGAAUACCCGCUGAACUUAA
RNAcentral lists this unclassified non-coding RNA (270 nucleotides) under uncultured fungus. RNAcentral's name for it is "partial contains 5.8S ribosomal RNA, internal transcribed spacer 2, and large subunit ribosomal RNA". Lineage: Eukaryota; Fungi. The record is from RNAcentral.